RNA transcript from Cimex lectularius (bed bug), 3008 nucleotides. It is a transcript of the gene named RNA-binding protein Musashi homolog Rbp6, with no coding region annotated. NCBI's taxonomy places the organism in Eukaryota, Metazoa, Arthropoda, Insecta, Hemiptera, Cimicidae. The transcript is spliced from 17 exons. The record is from RefSeq and is a predicted model, not a curated record.
AUAUGACCGUUCUUAUCAUAUUAGUCAAUGGUGAUAGAGGUCGCAUUGCUCCGUCGGCCUCGAACUGUGUUAGUGCCUUGUUCGUCUUAUUAAAUAGAACAUUAAAUCGUCUUAUAUUCAAGAUGGCGUCAAUUGAGAAUCUACUCUCAAACUGCUUUCAGUGUUAUUUGAAAUGUAUAAGACUAAAGUGAAUAUAAUCAGUGAUUUACGAUCAAAAGCUUCGCAAGCUUAAGAACAUCUAAUGAAACUAUUGAACACCUUUGUAAGCGAUAAGCCGUGUAAGAAAAACAAUAACACCAUGGGAUCGCGCCCGGUUGAACGUUCGUUCGCUCAUGCUCCGACAGGAAUAAAAACCGGAAAAUGUUCAUCGGAGGACUCAGUUGGCAGACAAGUCCAGAAUCGCUGAGAGAGUACUUUUGCAAGUACGGGGAGAUAACGGAGGUGAUGGUCAUGAAGGACCCGACCACUCGCAGAUCGAGCGCUCCAGGACAUGAGAGCUUCCAGGUCGGACAGCCUGUCCCGAGGGGAUUCGGGUUCAUUACUUUUGCCGACCCGUCCAGCGUAGACAAAGUACUGGCCCAAGGAACGCACGAGCUCGACGGCAAGAAGAUUGAUCCAAAAGUAGCAUUUCCCAGGCGAGCGCAUCCAAAAAUGGUCACUAGGACAAAGAAAAUCUUCGUCGGCGGCCUGUCGGCCCCGACGACCCUCGAGGACGUCAAGAACUACUUCGAGCAGUUCGGACAGAUUGAGGAUGCUAUGCUUAUGUUUGACAAACAGACCAAUCGGCAUAGAGGCUUUGGGUUUGUCACUUUCCAGUGCGAAGACGUUGUAGACAAAGUGUGCGAAAUACACUUUCACGAAAUAAACAAUAAAAUGGUGGAGUGCAAGAAAGCACAGCCAAAGGAAGUGAUGCUACCGGCGAACUUGGCCAAGACCAGGGCGUCAGGUCGGGGAGCAUACGAUUUCAUGUGGUCUUUGGGGGCCUUACCGGAUGGUUUCCCGGCUGCUGCGUACGCUGCAUAUGCGGCUGGUAGAGGGUACAGCGGCUACCCUAGCUUUGGGCUCCCCUACCCUACAGGUUACCCGGGCUACAAUUAUUACGCCCCCAACUCGUCCUGCGGCGACAGGACCAGCAGCUUCUACGGUGAGUACCAGCCGAGCGGAAGGCAGGACUCGCCCCUGGGCCGCCACGAGCAGGGCUCCCGCAAGCUCCUCGUCAGGCACGACUUGUACCAACCGGAGGACCGGCUUAAAACCUACGUCACAGUUGAUCUGACUAACGGCCAGCUAACGCCAAACAAUAACACGCCCCUGCUAACGCAAGCCUUAUCAGUUGGUGGCGGUUUAGUCAUGAACAACUACCAGGCGGCUGCGGCGGCAGCGGCUGCGGCGGCCGCUGCCAGCGGAUUCGGACCUCCCGCGAGUCCGCACACCCCGAGGGCUGCAGGCUUCCCGGGUGCAAAUUCCCCCGGGCCGACCCUCGACAUGUACACAUCAACAACAGCACCUCCGCAAGCGGAGAGCGUCGGCUACGUCCAGGCUGCCAGCCCUCAAUCCUCAGGCUUCCCCACCAUAGCUGUCAGCAGGGCACCCAUCACCUACAACCCUGAUCAAGAUUACCAACGUUACGAUCUUUAUACGAUAUACCAGUAAGACUGAAGUUGUCCUUUUGAAGUUACGGCAGAAGACUCUUCACGGCGGCCCCUAAGACUUCAGGAAUCGGCCCGUUGAUACCAGCUGCAUUUACCAAUGGUUACCAUUGAGGAGGGUUUGUCACAGGUCAGAUAGGGUAGAUAGACCUCUAGUAGUGGUUAAAUAGAAAGUCUGUAUGUAAAACCAUAUGUACAAUAUGUGUGUAUGUUGUGUGCAGGUGAGCAGGCGGCCUUCGCACCCUCUCAACCUAGUGUAUAAGUUAUAUUGUGCAAUCUUUGCACAACCAGCCUCUGAAUUAUAUAUAUAUUCAUAUUCAUAUGCAUUAAUUAACAUAAUAUAUAUACACGUUAUUAUUGUGUAUACUUGUGUACAACACAAAAACAAAUAUGUACACUUUUAUACACUGGAUGGUUGAAAGGUUAUGUAUAUAUGAUUUCACACCCUGUAAACUUGUAUUUAAAGGGAAAAAAUAAGCAAAGAGUCACCCACUCACUGUAUACCCAUAAGAGAACCCAGUAGAAUAUUAAUUUUAGUAGUGUUUUUGGUAUAAAAAAAAUUCAUUACUCUUUAUUUUCAUAAUCAACUCCCCUUUAGGCGUGUAAACAAAGAGUGAUCUCUCAUCCACUCUUUCAAAAAUUAUAUAAAAACACACCAAAGCUCACUUUUAUGCAUGAAAUAUUUUAAUCUUUACAAUUAUAAUGUAAAUAAUAUUUGGGCGCGUCCGUUUAUAGGAGCCGACCCUAUACUUAACACAUACGUACGAUUAAUAUUUAUCGAUUAUCGCUAAAAAUUGUUAUUAUUGUUGACGGAUUUCUUCAAUUACGAGAGAAAUAAAAAAAAAAGGUUCUUUAUUUCCAUUGUGUUAAAAUGUAGUACGUUAUAGAGAUUUUUUUUUGGGUCUUUGUACAUUGUUGUUCUUGCAAUCCUUAUUCGGUAGGUGAUUGGUAGUACGAGUAUAGACGGAUUAAUAUUCAAUUAACGUGAAAAACUGAUUUUUUUUAAAUAAAACAUUUCUUUUCUUUUUUUGUUUUAAUGUGAAAUUUAACCAGACAAACGAACUCGGGUUAAAAAAAAGACGAUGAAUAAAAAUACUCUAUUGUCUAUUAUAUUAUAUAGCGUUGUUAAUCCUUUUGUUAAGAGAGUAAAUUCAUAUUUUAAUAAUCACAGGGUAUUCUAUAAUUAUUACUAUGGGAAUACAGGAGACCUUUGAUUGUAUCUAGAUAUCCAUUGAUAAUCAAAUCACCUUGGACCAACUCGGUAAUGUUAAGGAAAUUGAGUUUUAGCACUGAAAUAUUUUGUUUAAGGCGAUUUACUGGUGUUUGAUUUUCAGUGCCUACAGAUCAAUGAAAAAAAAA